CCUACGGGAGGCAGCAGUGGGGAAUAUUGCACAAUGGGGGAAACCCUGAUGCAGCGACGCCGCGUGAGUGAAGAAGUUUUUCGGUAUGUAAAGCCCUAUCAGCAGGGGAGAUAAUGACGGUACCUGACUAAGAAGCCCCGGCUCACUACGUGCCAGCAGCCGCGGUUAUACGUAGGGGGCAAGCGUUAUCCGGAUUUACUGGGUGUAAAGCGGGCGCAGACGGCAGCGCAAGCCAGGAGUGAAAGCCCGGGGCCCAAACCCGGGCCUGACCUUGGAACUGCGCGGCUGGAGUGCAGGAGGGGCAGGCGGAAUGCCUGGUGUAGCGGUGAAAUGCGUAGAUAUCAGGAGGAACACCGGUGGCGAAGGCGGCCUGCUGGACUGAGACUGACGUUGAGGCACGAAAGCGUGGGGAGCAAACAGGAUUAGAUACCCUUGUAGUC
Molecule: ribosomal RNA, 440 nt
Filed under: uncultured bacterium
Lineage: Bacteria
Description: partial 16S ribosomal RNA
Rfam family: Bacterial small subunit ribosomal RNA
Source: RNAcentral